Non-coding RNA from Salmonella enterica subsp. enterica serovar Enteritidis, 223 nucleotides. NCBI's taxonomy places the organism in Bacteria, Pseudomonadati, Pseudomonadota, Gammaproteobacteria, Enterobacterales, Enterobacteriaceae. The record is from Rfam.
ACAUCAUCUUAAAACAGCCCGCAAAACCGUCUUAUUUACGAAGGGCUUACUGCCUGCGCGCGCCCAUUCCAACGGCUUGCCUGCCCCGGAUGAACUGUUGAUAAAAAAGAGGGCCAGCAUCUGUUUCCAGACGGCCCUGAGUGGAUUGUGACGUAACAUGGCACCUUGCUGGCGCUCUCUUAUUAUUUCAUGCCUGUGCCCUCGUUAUGGCGCAAUCAGAGCU